Molecule: long non-coding RNA, 432 nt
Filed under: Sus scrofa (pig)
Lineage: Eukaryota; Metazoa; Chordata; Mammalia; Artiodactyla; Suidae
Description: lncRNA (ENSSSCG00035008522.1)
Source: RNAcentral
CCCUGACCCCUCUGCCAGACAUCCCAUGGCAGAACUCAGUGCCCCUCUGUGCUUGCUAAAUAUCUACUCUACACCUUUAUUAAAGAACGUACCACCCCCCACUGACACUAUGAUUUUCUUAUGUGUCCUGAGCUCCCCUUGCAGGCCUCCCACCUCCAAUACUGGAUGCAUUUUGGAGUAGCAAGACUGUAUUCGUGUCACCUGUUCCCCAGAUUCUAUCAUAGUAGGAUAAGAAGUUUCAACUUAAAUAUUACUUGCACCGUAUCACCCUCUUUUAUCACGACCUGAUAUUUUAUUUAUUGUUUCAUUUCCCACUAGAAGGCAAGCUAUUGAGAGAUGCCAACAAAUAAUUGUUGGAAAAAUAAGUGAAUGAAUGGAUGGAUGUGUGAAUGACAAAUAAGUGUCAUAUGCACAAGCUAAAAACAAGGCAGC